GAUGAACGCUGGCGGCGUGCCUAAUACAUGCAAGUCGAGCGAAAAGACGCGGCGCUUGCUCCUCUGACGUUACCGACGGACGGGUGAGUAACACGUGGAUAGCCUACCUAUUAGACUGGGGUAACUUCGGGAAACCGGAGCUAAUACCGGGUAAUAUAUUGAACCGCAUGGUUCGAUAGUGAAAGACGGUUUUGAUGUCACUUCUGGAUGUAUCCUCGCCGCUUUGGCUAGUUGGUAAGGUAACGGCUUACCAAGGCAACGAUGCGUAGCCGAACUGAGAGGGUGAUCGGCCACUCUGGAACUGAGACACGGUCCAGAGUCCGACGGGAGGCAGCAGUAGGGAAUCUUCCGCAAUGGGCGAAAGCCUGACGGAGCAACGCCGCGCGAGUGAUGAGGGUCUGCGGGUCGUAAAACUCUGUUAGGAGGGAAGAACAAAUUCGUAAGUAACUAAGCACGUCUUGACGGUACCUAGACAGAAAGCCACGGCUAACUACGUG
This 497-nucleotide ribosomal RNA is filed under the name uncultured bacterium. RNAcentral's name for it is "partial 16S ribosomal RNA". It matches the Rfam family "Bacterial small subunit ribosomal RNA", at positions 28 to 507 of the family's 1533-position model. The record is from RNAcentral.